This 127-nucleotide transfer RNA is filed under the name Caudoviricetes sp. Its description in RNAcentral is "tRNA-OTHER". It matches the Rfam family "tRNA". From Rfam's summary of the family: Transfer RNA (tRNA) molecules are approximately 80 nucleotides in length. Their secondary structure includes four short double-helical elements and three loops (D, anti-codon, and T loops). Further hydrogen bonds mediate the characteristic L-shaped molecular structure. tRNAs have two regions of fundamental functional importance: the anti-codon, which is responsible for specific mRNA codon recognition, and the 3' end, to which the tRNAs corresponding amino acid is attached (by aminoacyl-tRNA synthetases). tRNAs cope with the degeneracy of the genetic code in two manners: having more than one tRNA (with a specific anti-codon) for a particular amino acid; and 'wobble' base-pairing, i.e. permitting non-standard base-pairing at the 3rd anti-codon position. The record is from RNAcentral. Lineage: Duplodnaviria; Heunggongvirae; Uroviricota; Caudoviricetes.
GGAAGGGAAGCUCGGAGGCAGAGCGCGUGAGAAUCCGGAGCAGCAUCCAUUAUGAUAGAGAGAGGAGAUGAGCUUUAUGCUGCUUGAGGUCCACACGAGGACGCAGGUUCGAAUCCUGCCCCUUCCA